AACGGACAAGGCAUCAGCCUCUGGAGCUGGAAAUUCUGUGAGGCCUCCAAUCUUCAGGACCCAGACUGACGGUGAUCUGAAACACUUGAGUGUACAUCAUGUGGGCCACCAUUCCCAGAAGACCUGACACACAAAGAUGCUCUCUCACUGAUCUCAGUGGACAAAGCCUCUCACGAUGAAAAGAAGUCAGACGAGGAAGUGCUCGUUGCUCACUUCUAAUGCAAGAUGCUGCCUUGGCAUCGACAGAAUGGCAGCGGCGACGCCAACUUCUUGUCACAGUGAAAACGGCAGCAAAGGCGUUCAGCUUGAGUCCGUCGAUGACGUUGCUCGAGUGGAAGAGCUCCAAACACAUCAGGCUGAAGCCCACCACUAGCAGCAGGAUGUACAGGACCUCCGACACCACCGACAGCCACAGCACGCCUGGCACAACAAGCGCAACUCAUCAGGUGGGAGCAGCAUAUUGGCCGUCACCAAGAGAUUGGCCAGAGGAAGGACGCAAACUUUUUUUUCGACCCUCUGUUGGGUGCUGUGUGGGGCCUCAUCCCAAUCUUCCACUUCCCUCCCGGUCAUCCGUUGUGUGUUGUCAUCCACUUGUGAGUACUGAACGUAGAUGAAGAGAUGUGGUAGAUGUGGUGCCGUCUUUUGAAUUACCGGUAGUUUAUGACAGGAUGCAUGUCAUUAGAUGAUUUGCGUUAAAUAUGCUUCAGGAAGGUAGGUAGCUUGUGUUUGAUAGGAUCUACACUAUAUGGAUUGUUUGUGUAUGUACUUAUGUGUAGGAGAUAUUAAUUUGCAUGUGUGAAGGUAGGUAGAUAGUCUAUGAUGUGAUGUACAUUCGUAGGUCGACAAUGUAUGCAUCCAGGUAGAGGGAAGAUAUGUAAAUAUAUAUAUAUAUGAGCCGCUGGUUGAAAGAAGGCCUAUCUCUCAGCAUGGACUCAAUUCUCAAUCCAUUUCCCACUCUGUGAUUUCCUCGAGCAGGCGAGGACGCGUAAUGGCUGUCAUUACUCACCUCUCUCCGAGGCGGGGGCCAGGUCAAUGAAGCUGCGACACUUCUCACCUGAGACACACAGAAAGACACGCGAACCAGGGAGAUGAAGCAACGGGAGAGGCAACGAAUGAUAAGGUGAGAGCGGCUGAAAA
This is a long non-coding RNA of Hippocampus zosterae (dwarf seahorse), 1137 nucleotides long. RefSeq lists it as uncharacterized. The record is from RefSeq and is a predicted model, not a curated record. The transcript is spliced from 5 exons. NCBI's taxonomy places the organism in Eukaryota, Metazoa, Chordata, Actinopteri, Syngnathiformes, Syngnathidae.